This is a non-coding RNA of Bombyx mori (domestic silkworm), 84 nucleotides long. The record is from Rfam. Lineage: Eukaryota; Metazoa; Arthropoda; Insecta; Lepidoptera; Bombycidae.
UUAACUCUUAUUUGUAUGGAGUUGGAACGUUUGCCUACGUUUGCCGCUAGGGGCGUUGUUCCAACUAUAUACAAAUUUGUGUUA